UGUAGAACAGGGGUGUUUGUCUCGGUUCCUGUUGUCUCAGUUGUGAAACUCCAAGUAUGGGCUUCAGAAAGUACCAGUGUCAACUCUCCCUAACUCUUUCCCUUCGGUCGACUACUACUUGUUUCAAGACAGCUUGAAGGGUGGGGCUGUAACUCAGGUAGAGCACUUGCCCAGCAUGUGUAAAACCUUGGGCUCAACCCCUAGCAUUAUGAAAACAAAAAGAAUUUGGCUCAUUUUUUUUCCCCAUGGGACCUAAACCCACCCACCCCCAUGCACACACACUGGCUUUACUUUUCUUUUAUGAGGAUGUGAAAUAUAUACUUGGUUUUGAAAGUCACAACAAAAGGAGAAACCCAGGAGAGAGUGUUCUCUUCCUACUCUUGUCAUUUCUGAGCUGAGCCAGCUCAUCUUUUUUGUCACAGAUCCCAGCAUGGUCAGCGCCUACAUGUACCCAGCAGGUGCCCCUGGGGCACAGGCAGCCCCUCAGGCCCAGGCCGGGCCCACCACCAACCCUGCCUACUCCUCGUACCAGCCUACUCCAACCCCAGGCUACCAGGUAUGUGGGCAACGUCUCCCCCCUCAUCUGCACCCAGCCUUCACCUGUUCCCUCACCUCACCCCCUUCCUUCUCUUAGAAUGUGGCUUCUCAGGCCCCACAGAGCCUCCCAGCCAUCUCCCAGCCUCCACAGACCAGCAACAUUGGCUACAUGGGGAGCCAGCCAAUGUCCAUGGGCUACCAGCCAUACAACAUGCAGGUAAAGAGACCUAGUCUUUUCUGGGCAUGGAGGGGUGUCACAGACAGGUCCUCUCCUCCUGGCUCUCACUUUGCUUUCUUCCAGCCAGGAGGGUCUGUUUCUGUCUGGUCACAGAUUACUCAGUGUUGGGCUCCAUCUUACUUCCCACAGAAUCUCAUGACCACCCUUCCAGGCCAGGAUGCGUCUCUGCCAGCCCAGCAGCCCUACAUCACAGGGCAGCAGCCCAUGUACCAGCAGGUGAGCCUCUCCCAGCCGGCCAGGGGCUCAGCAGACAGAAUGACGAUGUGCCUUCAAUG
This 1050-nucleotide long non-coding RNA is filed under the name Rattus norvegicus (Norway rat). Its description in RNAcentral is "long non-coding RNA NONRATT005143". The record is from RNAcentral. Lineage: Eukaryota; Metazoa; Chordata; Mammalia; Rodentia; Muridae.